RNAcentral lists this long non-coding RNA (584 nucleotides) under Heterocephalus glaber (naked mole-rat). Its description in RNAcentral is "lncRNA (ENSHGLG00100034262.1)". Lineage: Eukaryota; Metazoa; Chordata; Mammalia; Rodentia; Bathyergidae. The record is from RNAcentral.
CCUUAAUUCUCCUCUGUUCUUCAAUAAGACACUGCUAUAGUCAUUGUGUAGAGGCCAGUCCCAUGUUCCUAUGCCUCUGGCCACCAACCAACAACAUUGUGUCCUAUCCUGAGGCUACAUUCUGUCAAGACCAGUACAGCACUGAGUAAUCUGGGCAUGGCUCAGGUGGAUCUUGGCUCUCAAAUCUCUCACAGGCUUCAAUCAAGGUGUCAGCUAGGACUGCAAGCAUCUUGACCCGUGGCUGGAAGGAAUUCUAAACUCAUUCACCUGGUUGUUGGAAGGAUUCAGCUCAUGCGCUAGUGCAAUACGGGCAUUAAAUCCUUACUGGCUGUUGGUCAGAGACUGCAUUUGAUCCUUGUCAGGUGGUUUCCUUACCACUUAGAUCAUAACUCUGCAAAAGAGAAUUUGAAAAGAGUUUUUGCCAAGUACACCUUAUGGAUUAUGAUGUUUUCCUGCAAGUUUGACCCCUUUAUCAUUAUGCAAUGCCCCAUUCUACCUCUGUGAAGCUGACUUGAACCAAGAUUAAUGUAACUACUCCAGCUCUCCUUUGGCUCCUCAGCUGCUGUUACACCCUUCUUGGAUGG